CCUGUAAAAUAUUAUACAAUUAAGAAAUCAGACAAUUAGAAUUAUGCCACUCUAUUUUCAUUAGCAAGAUGUAUUACGUCAAGAACUGUUUGCUCAAACUUAAUUAUGCCAAUGUUAUGGAAGUUCCUGAUAUACAGGCACACACAACAGAUGUUCUCAUUUUUUUAAAUAUAAAUUUGGGGUUUUACAAGAAUUUCACAAUAGUAAACCACUGAAGAAUUAUACACACGCAUAUAUGAGAGCAGGUUCAAGGGAUUUUUUUUAAUACAAUUUUACAUAUAAAUUUCUAACAAUUAGGUUAAAGUUUAUCAUAUGGUUAAUAUUAAAACUGCAUGCAGUUUUAUAAUUCGAAAAAUUAAUUAACUAAACGCAAGUCCCUACGUCAAACAAUAAACGUGAAACACGACGCUUUUUCCUCUCUCUUAUCAUCUUAAUUUAUUUAAACUAAGUAAUUUCAUUCAAAGAUUGAAAUUACACUUCAUUUCGGAGGAAGAUCUUCCAAUCAAAUUACAGGCAACUUAAAAUUAAAAGCUGCCUUAGCUAACACGAGUAUGCGUGUUGCAGGCUCUUCGGAUGAACUGAAUUCUAAAUCAGCAUUGUCCUUAAUUUCCUCUUGAAUGUCCAACAACACUUAAAAGAUUUCCUUUGCUUGACAUCAUGUUUAGGACAUUCAUACAUUUCUCUUUUUAACUUAUGUGCUCAUCUCCUUCAAUCCGCCCUCUACUCAUUAUAAAACAUUUUUUUUUAUUCUGAUGGCUGUUGGAUGGAUGUUACUACUACAAAUUAAAAUAUAGUACUUCCCUAGUUCUUUGUAUGUUUACUUUAGUUAUCCAGUAAAUCGAAACGUGAUUAGAUGACUAUGCUUUGUUAAUCUUUAAAAAAAUAUAUGUAGAAACGAUUGCCAACAUUUGUUUUCCAAUAUUUACAUUUGGUUUAAUAAACAAAUUUAUGUAGAUAACAUCUUUUUGUAUGGCUACAUGGAUGUGUACCUUAGUUCACUGGUAAUUUAGAGGGAGAAAUAAAGGGUAAUACAAAGGUGAGAGAAAAAUAUUUUACUUAUACGAUUAAAUUUAAUAAUAUGGCACCUACGCGAAUUAAUUAGUUUUUUAAAAUAACAAAAUUACACGUGAGCUUUAGUAUUAAUCCUUGGACGAACUCUAUUAGAAAGAAAUUUUUUUCUAAAAGUAUCUUUUUUAAACUUGCCCCCAAAAUAAGGAAUCUUCUAAAAAAAAGGAAAAAAGAAAACAAACAUUCCAAGUAUUAUCCUUAGUUUAUCCUUUAUUUUAAUAAAGUAAGGAAGCCUUAUAUAUAUAUAUAUAGAUAGAUAGUAAUGAUCUAAUCCAAAAUUUUGGGUUUUGUUAAAAACCAAAAAAAAAUCAUAAUUUCAAAUGGUUCAAUAGUCCAUUAUACUAUUAAAUCAUAUGACUUACUAGAUUUUUCGGACUUUAACAAAAUUUGUGUAGUGAGAGAGAGAGAGAGAGAGAGAGAGAGAGAGUCCUUCUUUAGUAAUGAAAUCUUCACUUUUUUAAAAUGAGAAUGUUACUAAAAUAUAAAAAAAAACACAUAUUUCAAUACAUUAGAAAUUGUGUUUUUUUUAUUUAUUAGUAGCAUUCUCAAUUUAACAAAGUGAAACAUAUAUAUAUAUAUAUAUAUAUAGUCCUUCUCUAAGGUGGGUGCCUUUAUUUUUUUUUAAAUGAGGACACGCUAUUAAACCGUACGAUUUAACGGUGUUCUUCAUUAAUUCUAUUAAAUCGCACGGUACAACAAAGUGUUUGCAUUAAAAAAAAAAUUAGGGUGCCCACCCUAGCGAAUGACUAUAUAUAUAUUUAUGAGAGUUGUUGCACUUUAAUAAAGUGCAAGAAAAUUGUUACCGCAUAUGGUAUAAUAGUGUAAUGUCCCGACAAGUACUCGUAUAUAUAACAUGAGAUUAAUAAUCAUACGUGGAUGUGAUGGGGCAUGGUCAAUAACAUGAGGCUGGUCGAAAUUGAUGCCCUUAAUAUAGGGGUACUUGGUAGUGAUGGCUUGAAGAGUAACACCGAGACUGCCACCAACAUCGACCAGUUGCUUGAUGUUGUCGAAGCCCUUGUAAGAUUCAAGAAUGUUGCUCAUAACCAGGGAGGUAUAGUUAUACAUUGCUGUGUUAAAAUGUUUAUUGAACCUAGGGUCCAAUCCUGCGUACUCAAAUACAUGCACUCCAUGGGCUCGAUUAAAUGGAAUUCCUCCUUCAAGAAUAGCAUCUUUGAGUUGGGACCUACAUAAAUUCCGAAAAACCAAUUUAUCAUGCAUCGUCUAUAUAUAUGCUCCAUGCAUGCAUGCAUGCUCUAGCUAAUCAUUUACUAAGAAAAAGAGAGAAAUAGAAAUUAAUUAAUUACCAGCUUUCCAGAAGGACCUUGUCCUGAUUCAUUUGUAAUAGGGGGCCUAGUAAGACGCCAUCUUUGUUAGGCACAUAGUAUUUGGAGACAGAAUUCAAACUAUAUAGUCUCCGAGCACCAGAAGCAUCAAGUGAGCAUUCAACAACACUGUAGCUAGCCAGAAGCCUGAGAAUCCGAUCCAGCAUCAUGGGUGCGUCUUUGUUCUUGGUAAGCAAUUGGGCUGCAAUAUCUGAAGCACAGAGCUUUGCACCAGGACCAACUUUGUCUAGGAUCUCGAAAAUGCCCAGCUCAUACACCGCUUGAAUGGCCAUGGGUAGCACUGUACCCAUCACCAAUUGACUAGCAUAUGCAAAGCUUUGGUCUCUUUCUCCAUCAACUAUAGAAUCCAUUUUAAAUUUCUUGAAUUUCUUGUACGCUUUGCGGGGUUUCUUGUUUGGCCAGGGGGUUAUAUAUAGACUUGUCAUUCAAAACUAUCAAGAGUUUGCCAAUAUAGACUUGGUCAUUCAAAACUAUCAAAAGAGAGAUGGGAUUGACUAAUGAAUUAAAAUUAGAACUUUGCCAAUAUUUAAAAUUUUCUUUGAGCUAUAUAAUUUAUGCAAUCUUUGAGGCUAUUUUUAUGUUUUAUUUAAAGUUUGUUGUUCUUUUUAUUUAUUUAUUUUUUUAAAAAAAUGAUGUUUGUGGGUAUCGUCACUAAAGCCAUCACGAGACUAUAACUCGUCCACUAGGGCCGUCUAGGGGUUUAAAGGCUUGUUGCAUACGUUAAAUGCAAUCGCGAUUACUUGGAAAAGUAGUUUAGUUAGGAUUUACUUUUUGUUUCAUUGUUUUUAUUUUUGUUUUAAGUUUUAGUUUUGCUCGAGGACUAGCAAAAUCUAAGUUUGGGGGUAUUUAAUGAGCAUAAUUUAUAUACAUAUUUUACCCUUUCUUAUAUAUUUGCUAGUUAUUUUUUUUCUUAUUUUUAAUUAAUUGAAUUGUUUUAUUGAAUAGGGAAUUAAUUUGAGAUUAUGGAUAAAAAGGAUAUAAAAGAGCUCAAUUUUGGAAGCAUUAAAGAUUAAUUGAUUUUUGGAAGUAAUUAGACAUACAUGCAUGUGGAAAUCAAGCCAAGGAACCGAAUUCAACAAGUUAAUUCAUCAUGCACAUGCGGACAAAAGAGAGAAUUUGAUUUUAGCUUUAAAAAAGACCCGCAAUUGGCUUUCAUAAAUGAAAAAAGAAUCCUAUUGCAAUUCUAAGUGCCCAGCACGUGAGUGAAGCAAAACAAAUAUGCUUUAGAAUUGAUAAGGUGGGGCCCAUUUUAAAGACUAUAUAAACAAGCCUUUGGCUUUUGAAUGAAAAGUAGCCGCCAGAGGAAGGAAAAAAAGAACAGACGCGAUUCGGGAGAAAAUCAGCUGCAGCAGUUCGGCUUCAAUGGAUGAUUUUAUAUUUUUUUGUUGCUCUCAAUUUAAGUAUAUCUAACUAAUUUUUUUAUACUGAGGUUAAGGAUGAAAUCUUAUUCAAUAAAAUAAUUAUCUUUUUAUUUAAUUAAUUCCCUACAUGUAUGCUUUAAUGAUUAUGGUUUUUAUUUCACAUGAUUAAUUUGAUGUUAUUAAAAUCUUUUCAUCAAUUCUGUCAUGCAUUAUUAAUUGUUAAGAUUAAUAUUUGAUUAAAUCUAUGCUUGGAUCUAUAAAGUUUAUACAUGAUUUUUUUUAGGGGAAAUCUUCAGUCAUAUACCCUUAAAUGACAUCAGUAUCAAACGUGUUAUAACAUUUUUAAAUGUAUCACUCGUAUACCCUAAGUUGACAAAACACUUCUGCCGUCCACCGAUCCGUUAACUGCCGUUUGCGAGCGCUGACAUCAUAAGGGUGAUCUAGUCUUUUUUAAAAACGACAUGUCAUCCCAUUUACCUAGUAAAAAAUGACAUGUCAUAUGAUAUAUUUUGAUAAAAAUGACAUGUCAUCCCAUUUAUCGGAUAAUUGUUAAUAAUUGUAAAAAAAAAAAAAGCUACUUUACAACUGAAUUUACUCUUCCAAAAUUUAACCAAAAUUAUUGAAGAUCUACUCCUCCAAGCUCCAACUUGAGUUUUUUAUGGUAUAAUAUGUAUAAUUAUAAAUAAUAUGUUGUUAAUAAUUUUUUAUGGUAUAAGAUGAAUAUUUUUUAUGGAUAAUUGUUAAUAAUAUGUACCAUUAAUAAUUUAUAUUUUUUUAAUAAAAAAUGUAUUGUUAAUGACAAAAUAAAAAAAAUUGUGUAUUGAAAAUUUACAUUAAUUUUCAAGGUAAAUUUAUUUUUUUACCUCAUUUUGAGUUUAAAGGGUAAAAUAGUCAUUUUGCUCAAAUUCUAUUAAGUUCUUAACGGUAGUAAACGGAAAGGUGGACGCCAGAACUCUUUUGUCAACUUAGGGUAUACGAGUGAUAUAAGUGAAAAGUAUUGUAGUACGUUUGAUACCGGUGACAUUUAAGGGUAUACCGGUGAUAAUUUCCCUAUUUUUUAUUCUAUAUCUUUCUUUAAAUUGUUUACAUAGAGUGUUUAGGAAAACUUUGACUCUUUGUUAUUCAAUAUGUUUACAUGGGAUGCUUAGAUGUCAUACUAUUAAGCAGAAAAAGCACCUACAUUAGAUUUAAUUACUUGGGUUUAAUUGUUAUAUCCAUGAGAUGACAUAGAUUGAUUUCGAGUUAUCACUCUAAAAUUGGAGAUUAAUUAAUAAUUAGAUAAUUAUUAGUUGAAUAGUGGUGGAUUAUGAAAUCUUAGUAACUUUUGUCUUAUUGAUUUCUCAUUUACUUUAAUUGUUUUUUUAGUUUAAUUAGUUUAAUUUCUCUUAAAAAUUCAAUUUGCUCAAUUAGGUUAGAAUUAAUAUUAAUUUUAAAUUUAAAUUAGACUUUUUAAUUUAUAACAAUCCAUGUAUGAUCAACCUCAUUACCACUAUUCUAUCUCUAAAUUUAUGCGCUUGCGAGUAUAUUAAAAUUUUUGACAACAUGUUUACUGGUUGUUAAUUUCAAAAAGUUAAGCCUGCAACGCGAAAAGGACAGAAGAUGCCAUAAAAGGGGCUUUAGCCCUCUGAACCAUUUUUUUUUAAGUGUGCCCCGAGCACCUUCUGAAUGAGUUAAAUGAAAAGCAUUUAGAAAUAUUUUUUAAAUAAUAAAACACUUGUAGCCCAAUGGUACACAUGUUACUUAGUGGUUUUAGAGACUUGAUUCGAAUCCCAAUAAUUUUUUUGAAUGUGUGCAUGGUCCUCAAUAUUUUUCACGUUCAAUAUAAAAUUAAUUGAAGAAAAAAUGUUGGCCUAGUUAGAGGUAGGUUAUAGGUAGGUAGGGUUUUAAGAAAAAAAGUAAAACUUUAUUUGCGGGACGCAAUUAAAAAACAUGGGUCCGAAAUAUUAUUGAAAACUAAUUUAAGAGAAAAUGUUGGCUUAGUUAGAAGUAGGUAACAAAUAGGUACGAUUUCAAGAAACAAGUAAUACUUUAUUUGCAAGAUCCGAUUAGAAAACAUGGAUUUGAAAUACUAAAAAGAGUAUUUUUUGUAUAAAAAUUUGAGGAGUGUUAGCGACAAUCGCCUAUCGUGACUAGUGUCUUGGUCCUUAAUUUUUUUUUUCACGUUCAAUAUAAAAACUAAUCGAAAAGAAAAUGUUGACCUAGUUAGACAUAGGUAACAAGUAAGGUUCUAAAAAAGAGUAAUACUUUAUUUGCAGGGCCCGAUUAGAAACACAUGCCGAAACAUUAAUUAAAAAAGUAUUUUUAUAUAAAAUUUUGAAGAGUGCUAGCAACAGUUGUCCUUACAGAUGACUGAGACAGUCAUUACCAAUCCCUCUCAAAUUUAAGUGUUUGGUCCAGCCACCGAAGAGAACCCAUGUGUGAUUAUGUACUAUAGGUGCAUUUGGUACAUUGUUAUUAUAUUAUAUGUUUUGCAUUAUUUUAAUACAAGCAUAUUGCAUUAUAUUGUAUUGCAUUAACACUUUAUUUUAUUAAUAUUGUGCAGCAUUUAGUGUUAUAUUGUACUAUAUUAAUUUUUAAUUAUACUAUGUUUGGUAUUGCAUUGCAUUGUACUAUAUUUUUUUGGUUAUCAUAAAAAUUAUAUUUUUAGAAAAUAAAUAUUUACUUUUUGAUAACUUUGUCAAAAAUUCUUUUUGUCAAAAAUAUUUUAAUAAACUUUUCAAUGAUAUAUCUUUCAAAAUAAAAAUCCAAGUGAAUAAAAUAGAUAACUUAAAAAAUAUCCUAACAUAAAUAAAUAAUUAAAACAUAUAGGCUUUGUUUAAAAAAAAGACAUAAUAGAGAUAAUUAAUACAAAAGUUUGCACAUACUAUAACAUAGUCACAAAUAAAAGGAGUUGCAUUUUUAAAACGGGUUGCUUUGUCUCAUACAUCAAAUCAAGAUAAAUAAUUGUGGAUGGAUAGAGACAAACACAACUUUCACUCAAUCCUUCGAUAAGAUGUAUUAUUUCCCAACUAUCCAAAUGUUAGUUAAUUUGUGACCACUACUCAUCCUCGCAAUCAAGAAUUUAUUCUAUUACAUGUCUAAGAAAAAAUGUUAUUAAAUGGACAGCAAAAGAACCACAACUACAUCAUUUCGAAGCAAUGUACAUAACAAAUGGACUUAUGUACCAAGCUUGGCCUACCAUGCAUGUAUGUUAUGCAAAAUAUUGCACAAUAUGCAAAAAUGUGGUUGCAUGUGUGGAAAUUUAACCACAUAGGUAGAAUAAGUGCAAUUUUACUAAGUUGGACGAACAUGCCCCAUAAGCUAUCUAGAUGUAAUGGGAUGCUGAGAUGAGCGAUAGGAGAAUGCAAAAUGGAAGCUGAUGCCAAGUAGUUGUCGAUGUAGAGUUUAUGUCAACUUAGGAGUGCUUACAAGUUCCAAAGAUGAACCAACAUAAUUUUAGUUCUAAACAUGCACUGAUGUUGAAAGAAACAUGUGAGAUGAAAAGUUGAUGCCAAGUAGUUGUCGAUGUAGAGUUUAUGUCAACUUAGGAGUGCUUACAAGUUCCAAAGAUGAACCAACAUAACUUUAGUUCUAAACAUGCACUGAUGUUGAAAGAAACAUGUGAGAUGAAGUGCCUCGAGAUGCUGUAAAUGCAGUUGGAUCUCAAUCAAAUGCAUGAUUUUUUGGGAAAAAAGCUUCUUACAAUAAGAUCACUGAAAAACAUCGAUCAUAAUAUUAUCACCAUCAUUAUUUUCCCCAUUUUUGGAAUGUGAGAGUUGAUUAUGAGAAUUUUUUUUAUCUUUGUAUCAUGUGACUAAGAUGCUGGAACAACUUUAACCAUCUUUCAAAUACAACUCAAAGAUUAGAAAAUACAAACUGUUGAUGAAGAAAUCUGGUCGGCUAUUGCGUGAAUAGGUGCCCACACCAACACUUAAAUUGCUAUUGAGGAGAUGAUUUAACACUACAACUUUACUGAAUUAGUAGUUGUAGGCAAAUUAACAUGCAUGAAAACCAUGUGCGAACAAGGUGGAUAAAAAAGCCCAUCUAGCCCAAGUCCGUAAGCUUUCGGCCCAUCUUUCUACGCGAGGAAUUAGAUAAGAGCUUAAGAGAAAAUGCUCGGACUAGGCCCAGCACUCUAUUUUUUUUUUUACAAAAUAAAUUUAUAAAUUAGAACAAUAUAUUAAAAUUUAAAAAAAAAAAACUUAAAUUCUUAAUUCAUAAAUCAAUAAUGAUUCACAAAACCUAAAAUUAUAAUAUUAAUCUCUCUCUUAAGCAGUAAUUAAUUAAAAUGAUGUUUAAAUUAGAAAAUGCAGUAUUAAAAAAAUUAAAUCUUUAGCAUUUAUUUGCUUAAUUUUCUUCAUUUAUUAUUUUAUUUUAAAAUAUUUAAUUUCUUUAACUCAUUGUUAAUUAUAACAACUUGUUAAUUAUUAAUUCAUUUCAAAUUUACAACAAUUAAAAAAAAAAAGUGAAAGUCCAAGCCUUGUCCUCAUGCUUCUACUAAAAUGGGCUUGGGCUCAGAAAAGCUUGACCUAAGCCCACAUUUUGUCAUCCCUAUGUUCAUAUUAGGUAGGAUUGUCAACUUCAAAUUAUUAAUAUUAGGGGCUGCAAAAUGAAUAAACGAAUUGAAUUUGAAUCAACUUAAUAAACGAAUUGGGUCAAAUUUUGAUGGAUUCGAAUUUGAUUUAUUUAAUAAGUAAAUCGUAAUUUUAUAAUUUUAAUUCAAUUUAUUUAUUAAAUGAAUCAAAUAUUCAUUCACAAUUCAUUUAUGUAGAAUAAUUAUUUUUUUCUUGUUAUUACAUCUUAUAAUUACGAAUAAAAAUUUAAUGGUAAAUAAAUAAUUGAAUCAAACGGAUAAUAAAUGAAUAGUGUCAUAUUCGAUUGAUUUAUAAGCAGUUUAUUAAAAGAAAGAAUAAACCAGUGAUCACAAAUUUGAAUUCGAUUCGUUUAUUUAGUAAAUUGAAUCAAAUUCAUUUAUUUAUUAAAUGAAUUAAUAUUUUCAAACUCAAAUCUAAUUUAAUUUGACUCCAGUUGAAUCGAAUCGAAUAAAUAAAUUUUCGUCCAAAUUGCCAGCCCGUAUUAAUAUGCCUACAAUACCAAGUGGACGGAAGAUGUCAUAAAAAUCUUUAUGGACUCUUAAAGCAUUUGCUAUCGGCUGACGCUGUUAAACACAUAAGAAAUUCAGGAAAAUUAAUUAAACAUGGCUUCAUAUCAUUCUACUAAUCAGCCAGACCCAGUUGGAUCCAAUGUACUGAUCACCCAUCAGCCAAUUGGUGAUGAGUACUAGCAAGCUUUAAUUGCAAGCAGUGAUUGAGCGACUUCUGGCGUUUCAAUUGUGAUGCCAAUCUGGAACUUGGUUGGAUCUCGCUCGUGUCUUUGACCAAAAGCAAAGGGCUCGUGGACAUUAAACAAAAAGAAUUGUUUUUUCAGACCUUAUCAGGCCAUUUACUUCGUUGUGUUGAAGGCUUUGUUUCAAAGCCAGAGACAAAAUCAAUAUAUAUAUAUAUAUCACGUACAGAUAUUCGUAUUUUUUAAAAUAUGAAUUUAUUAUACAAUAUAGUAAAUUCUUAUUUAAAAUAUGAGAACAUUCGCGAGAGAGAGAGAGUCUCCUUCUUUUCUAGCGAAAAUAUUUUCACUUUAUUAAAAUUAAAAUGUCACUAAAAUAUAAAAAUAUAGAUUUUAAUACAUUAAAAACUUUAUUUUUUUCUUUUAGUAUAUUAAAAUUUAUGUUUUUUUUUAAAUUUUUUAUUGACAUCCACACCUUAAUAAAGUGAGGAUGUCGGCCUUACUAUAUAUAUAUAAUCUUUUAAUAUUUUAACUUAAUUCCCGCAUUAAAAGCUAACUCUUGCAUAAUUACCCUAAAGAAUCAGCUUAACAGAAGUACCAAUUUGUGAUAGUGUACUAUGUGUCGUACGUUUAUGGCACUGGAGCCACAUUCAAUUUGUGCUUGGUCCUCAAUUUUUUUCAUGUUCAGUGUAAAAACUAAUUGUAGAGAAAAUCUAGGCCUAGUUAGAUGUAGGUUAGAGGUAGGUAGGUUUUAGGAAAAUGGGUCCUCUUAAUAAUAUAUAGCGUUGUAUGAGAUACAACGGAAGUUCAGUUUUUGUUUUUAAUAAAUUAUAAUUUUGAGUAUGUUUUAAAAUAUAUUUUUAUGUUGAGAGGGAUUUUGAUAGUCUCCUAAAUUAAAUGAAGUUUUUAAUAUUUAGUUAAAAGAUGAGGUAGCCACGUGUAAUUACCUUGAUAUCUGCCAGCUACAAGGCUAUACCAUUUAUUUCGGUGACCAUUUAAUGCCUAAAAUCAUCACCCAGCCGUUAUAUUAUUUUUUUUAUUUUGACAUUAUAAAUCUAUAAAUAUUUUGUAAUAUAAAAAUUAGUGAAACCUCUUUGAUUUUUAUCGUUUUGGGAGUUUAUGUCUCUUUGAUCAAUUCUAUGAUGGUGCAGUGCAGUCUACACAUAUAGACCAAUAACAUAUCAAUUUUUUUUUCUAAGCAUUUAGAAGAAAUCAAAUCCAAAAUGCACCAUAGAGGAAUUCAAAUUGUAUCCAUCAAUAUCGAUAUGAGAAUUAAAAUAGUUUAUCAUUCUAAACCUCAGAUAGUUUUCAAACAACUAUAUUAUUUGAUAGUGCCAAGUAUCAUAUUGUCCAUAAAAUAUUGCUGUUUUUAAUAUUAUUUGUACUAAUGACUCAUAUAAUUAAUAAUACGAUUUAAUUCUUGAUAUGGACAACUAUAAGAUAACAAUAUCUAAUUAAAAAUAUUUCAUACAAAUUUCUAUCAAAUUAAUUAAAUUACUUUUUAUCGUUUCAUUUACUCACUAAUUUGAAAUCACAAAAAUUUCUUUGAGUUGUUAUCGAAGCUUAUACAUGAUUACAUGUAACUUUAAUACUUGAUGAUAUUGUUUUACUACUAGCAUUAUGAUUGAUGAUACUAUAACUCUUAACAUCUAUUACUAACAUUGUUAAUAAGUAUAUUUGUUAGCCAAUACUAUUAUUAUUAUUUGUAAAUAGAACACAUAAAUGAUAAUUUUAUCAGGCCUCCAAACUCGAACUCAAAAUAUUUUUUUAACUCAAAUUUUAUUUUAAUUUAACCAAAUAAUAAAUAAUAAAAAAUAAGACCCUAGGUCUAAACUCACGGCCUCUCUCAAAGCACUAGACUCUACCCAUCGUCACCUCCAAGUUCCCAACGGAGCUUCCUUUCCUGGCCACGUCCAAAAGACCAAGCUUUGCCGUCAACACCAAAACACCAAGUUUUCAAACUUUUUCGUCAGUCUGUGUGCGCUCCACUGAAAUUGUAUGGCACAGUGGCCACUGGGCAGAAGAAAACAUGUUAAGGAAAAAAAAAAUUCUCACAAGAACCAACUAGCUAUAAAAUGCAAGAAAGCAUCAAAUGCGGCAUAUUAUUUAUUAGCAUACCUUUCAAUAUUCCUUUUAUUCACCUCUUGGUUAUCGGCACCGACAACACCUGGAUAUUCAAUAACACGAAGCACUGAAAACGCAUCUCCAACUCUUUCACCUUCAAAUUCAAAUGGUGAUUUGUUGGGACAAGAAAUCCUUUGGUGAAAACCAUCACCUAUAUCCAAGAAUAUUCAUGUUAUAUCACAAAAAAUCAAUAACAAAAUUAUGCGGAAGUGUACCUGAAUCUAUAACAUUGAAUUGCUCUCUAGGAUUGUGUGGUUGGCCUUCCAAAUCUACACGUUCUCCUAGAGAAUCCUUUAAGUUUUCUCAAGGCUAUCUUUCUGACGAUCGGAUUUCAGAAAGAAUAUAAAAAUAUGUGUGACAUGAGAACCAUAACCACUUAUCUAGACAACUUUUUUCUAUUGUCUUUACAUAUUAAAUGCCCAUAUCCUAUUAGAUAUAUUAAAGUCUGUAACACAUAAUUAUUCACAUAUAGGCCCAAUAUUGGAUUAAGGAUCCAACAAUAUUGGAUUAAAAAUUCAAUAAUCUCCCACUUGUGCUAUAUGUGUAACCUUAUAAUUAUGCUUUGUAAAAGUAACUCAAGAUCGAAAUACACCACUAAUGCCAUUUUAAUCCUGAAAGAGUCUUUCAAAGAAACCAGAGAGAAAGUUACUUUAUAGUCAAUGCCUUCUUUCUGCGUAAAAUCGUUUGCGACAAGACGCACCUUGCAUCUCUCUACAUUACCUUUCGAAUCCCUCUUGGUCUUAAAUAUCUAUUUGCAACCAAUAGGUUUCGCACCUUCUGCCAAUGGGACAAGAUCCGAUACGUCAUUGUCUUUCAUGGAUUUUAUCUCCUCAUUCAUGGCAUCAAUCCACUUCUGAGAGUUAAAACUUUUCAUGGCCUGACAGAAAUUGAUUGGAUCAUCUUCCAUCACUCCAAUGUCUGCCUCAUGUUCUUAGAGAAAUAUAAUAUUCCCCUAAAACUAAGCAAACAAACCCCCAACUCCCAAGCAACAGUCGAACAUCUCCACACACCACCAAAACAGUCAUCAUUUCACCUCUCCCACAUUAUCAACUAUCACUCAACCUCCCUUUUAUCUAUCUCACAUUCAUCAAACUAUUAUAUUUAUCUAAGUAUUGAAGACAAAAUCAAGCAACAAACUAAAGAAUAAUAAGAAGUUAGGGUUAGUAUUUCUUCAAUAUUUAUCUUUUAUUUUUUUGUUGGGUUUCAUACAAAAGAUCGGUUGCUCAUUUUACUACAAUGUGGGUACAUUAAAUAGUUAAUGUGAGGUCAUAAAUUUAUAAAUUAGUAAAAUUCCAGUAAAAUUCGAAAAAAAUGGGUUUUAAACAAUGUUGAAGACGAAACCCAAAAUCCAAGUGACAAGUACCUGUCGCCCAAACUUAGAAUGACUUGUCGUACCGGUCGCUUGGAUUCCGGUAUUCAUCACCCAGAUGACAUAAUACUGCAUAUUGGGCAAUUAGUACUCAUAUCACCGAAUAUACAAUCGCUUGUAAUUUGGGUGACAUUAUCUAUCGCCUGGGCAAUAGUGCUGUCAUUCGGAUCACCUGAAUUUGUUGAUAAUUAGUUAUUUAAUUAAUAUAGUAAUAUUAUUGUUUGCAGUGCUUUUAAUAAAGUAUUAUUAUUAUUUUGCAUCAGGUUAAUAUAGUUGUUAGUUCUUAUGAUGUAUUUUGAUAGAGCGUGGGAGACUUUGAAGGAUGGUCGUAUAGAGUAUGAGAAUGGAAAAGUUACUGCAUUUUGUUUUCAAAAAGAUGUAACAUUUGAACAAUUUAUUGCAAAGUUGUAUGAAAUUUUGAAGAAAAGUUCAGAUGAAUAUUCCCUCUUGGUAAAGACAAAUGUGAAAUCAACUCAUCUGACGCAACCCAUUGAUUCACUGCCUAUAGACAUAGUGAACGAUGAAAUGGUGAGAGUGAUUAUGCGUAUGAACUCUGAUCCAAUUAACUAUGAGUGCACUUCUAUUUAUGUAACAACAAGUCCUAAAGUUCCGAUAGAACUUUCUUUGAUGCCAUCAAUUCAAACUUCCACCUUUAAACACUACUCCCCAUUCCGCUCCCAUAAUUAUCCUAUUGAUGACAAUGUUGUCAAUACAAAUGUGAAUGCAUGCAAAAACAUAUAACAUUGAGUCCCAAAUGUAUUCUAAACAUUGCAAUAGUCCAAUCAACAUUUUGAAGGAUGUAGAUCGGUUUCAGGAAGUUAAUGAUUCAUCUUAAAAUCAUCUUAUCAGUCUAUCAGUCUAAUGGCUCGUAGUCGAAGUCGAUCUAGAGUUCCAAGUCCAAUAGACCCAUUGUAGUUGAAGGCUCCAAUUGUGCCAUCAGAUUGGGUAGCUUCAGACAUGGUUGAUGGUUCUAUUUACAAGGGUAUUUGUGUGGGCCAGACCAAUUAUUUAGCAUGAAAAAACUUAAAGUAUUGUGCUCCAUUGAAAUACUGAUCACGUAUUUGCCAAGUGUUUUUCGUGCAAAUUUUCCACAUUAUCACAUUUCAAUCAUGUCACCAAGCACCAUUCUCGAAGAGAGAAACAUAACAUCUCAUUGCCAAUCCUAAACCACAUUUGGUACUCAUCAUCAACUUGUUUCAUGACUAGUCUGAGAAACAAAUAAUGUACAAAAUUGUCGCUAAAUCCUGGGGCCCCCAUCGCUAGAAAAUGACCAAAAAUUGACUUUUUGAAUAGCCUAAAUUGAGUAUCAGUUAACUUGGUCUGUAUACGCAUAAUGAAAAAAAUUAAAUCUCAUUAAAUUUGAAACGCAAUCGGUGAAAUAAUCCUCAAUUGGUAUCUUCAAUGACCAGUGAUGCAUCUACUUGUUAGACAUAUCUACGCAAUAAAUUAUGAUAGUAUUAGCAUAAAUGUUUUAAAAAAACAAAACUGAAAUAGUCAGAAAUCUUUAGGAUAACAUUGGCAUAAAUGUUUCGAAAGAAAAAAAACUGAAACAAAACAAAAAUGAUACAAUUGGAAAACUUAGGCGACGACAUGAUUCAGUUGUUGUUGCCCUUCGUUGCCCGAUACAUGGGCAACAUGAUAUAUCGCCCAACCAAAUCUUGGCAACACAAUUCUGUUGCCCAGAUUUAGUUCAUGUCGCCUAGAACGCAGGCGACAACAUGUAUUGCCCAACCAAAUCAUGUCGUCACCCAUUUGCAUGGCUGGGCGAUGCAAGCUUGUCGCCCGCGUUGCUCAGCCUCCCAUGCCACGCAUGGCCAUUUGGUUGGGUGAUGGGGGGAAGCCACCCACCUUGCCCAAGCUUAACAUGGCCAAAUUUUAGGCAACACGAGCAACCACUCAUGUUCUUGAUUGGUGGGCACACCAACCUUCUCUUUAACUUCAAAAUAAUUCUAAGUUUAGAUCAAUAAUUUCUUAAAGGCAUUUAAACAAAUACUUGGUGUGCCAUUUAUUAGAUAUCUUAAUAUUAAGAAAACUCUAAUAUUUUCAUACCCAAUACACAUCCUAAUGAUUAACUAUGAUCAAUGAUGAAUCAACUAGGCAAUUUAAACAAAAAAUUAUUCUAAAUUAAUGAAACAAAUUGUGAAAGUACAUAAGCCGCCAAAAUCGUAAGUGAAUAAAUUUGCUGGAACCAAACUAUAACUCACAUAAUUGCCACUAGAAGUGAAAGAAAUCGCUACUGGAAGUGAAGGUUACUCUAUCAAAGCGAUGUAGCUAAAUUGCGCCGGGUAUUGAGAGGUGUUUCCCCUACUCUACUCGUGCAAUGAUGAUCCCGACGAGUAUUGAGAGUUAUUUCCCCUGGGUACUAUUUGGUGCAGUUUGUGAUGUAUGUAUGUAUGAAUUCCAUGUUUGCUGAUGUAAGUUAUUCAAUGUAGAGUUAUGUCACAUAAUUAUGCAUAAGCACUAGUACACUAUAUUAUUAUUAUUAUUAUUUUAAUAUAUAUAAUUACAUCCACUCACUGAGCCGCAAGCUCACUAUUUUCCUAUUUACCCCUUUCCUCCUAUGAUUCCGCAGGAUUUCGUGCAGAUCAAUUCUAAUUAAUUGAGGUUGGGCCACGAGACGUAUUGCUGCAUGUCUUGCAUUUUGAGCACGUUUAUGUUGCUUAUGUUUUAUAUGUAAAUAUACAUGAAAUGUCAGUAUGUACAAUGAGACAUAAGCUAUGUAAGUUUUGAAUUCAUAUAUGGUUUCAGAAAAGGCACAGAGGUGGUUAUGUGUUUAUAGGAAAGGCCAUAUUUUAUACAUAUUUUUCAUGAAUUAAAUUUGUGCUACAAGUUUAAAUUAUUAGUCCGCACAAUUCACCUCAAUUCUAACAUGCAGUUUGGGGCGGGUCGUGUUAGAUUUGCCCUUGAGCUCAGUGGGAGCGGCUUCAUAUUCUGGAGCAAGUUUCUUGCUCUGGGGGGCCCAUGGUGCAUAAAAAGCACCAUCACAUGUUGAUUCUUGGCUAUAACAUGACUAAAAUUCUUGUCACUCGGUUUCACCGCAUCUUUUUUUUCAUCAAUUGCCGGCGGCAACUUGUGCUUUUGAUCAUUGAAACUGUUGUAAGAAUCUGAAAGUUCAACAGUGUUUCCGUAAGAGAUUGGAGGAAUUUUCUUGAAUACGGAAACACACAAUAUAUAGCCUCCGUCAUAAUCUAUUUUGUAAACACAGAAAGGUGAAAGACGAAAAAGAACGAACAAAAGAAAAAUUGUAGUGGAGAGCAUAAGGAGAUAAGCUUUUGUUGACAUUGUUUGAGCAGCCGGCCUUGUAUUUGAGAUCUUCAAAUAAUUGUUGGCUAAUGACAAGAGAGAAGUAAUUAAAUGCUCCUUGUAUUAUUUAUUUUCAAAGAUGCAGACAAAAGGCUAAAAAAAAUUUUUUUUAAAAGUAUUUUGACUUCUAUUCAGAAAUUACAUUAUUAACACAUUGUUGAUAGAAAAAAACCCUCUAGCUUGACAAAGCACAAUCGAUAAAGACAAGAGCCACGUCUCUAUCUCAUAAAACCAGUGUUUUUGUAAACAUCACUAUGGAACAGUACUGUCACCGAAUCUUGAUCAUCUCUUAUUACAAUCUUUAAAAUGCAUCUGCUUGGACUUCGUAUUAAAAACUUUCUGUAUGUGAAUGGAAUGACUACAUUUGUUCGCAAAUUUAAUUAACUUCUCCAAUUAGUUCUUUUUUUAUCAACUUCAGUAUUUCAGAGGCUUAUGCAGAAUUACACAAAUUUACCACUAAUCGGAGCAACAAUGUCGAAGACAUCUUGUUACAAAUAUCACAUACUGAUGGGUGUCGAAGCCAACAAAAAUAAAUUCCUACUUUAAAUAAAUUGUGUAAGUGAUUGAGCAGGGUCGUGUCCACAGAGAUCGGUAAUUAAUUAAAUCCUUUUGAAACGUAAAACGUAAAAUAGGGGAAUUGUUGACAAUAAUAAAAAUCAAAUUAAAAUAAAAAGAAUGCAAAUUAAAGUUGUAAUUCAAAUUAGAGAAAGCUCUGGUUGAAGGAAUUAACUCAGCUUGAUUCGACUACUGAUCAUUGAUUCAAAUAUAGAUUAUUAUUACUCAUGAAUAGACCGGUUAUAGCUACUGAGACCCUCUAAUAGCCAAUCUCUCCUUAACUAGUCGAUAACCAAGGUACGACCGUUGGUUAUUUCCCUAAUCAAUAGACAACCCUAGAUUCGAUCAUAGAAUUUAAUCAAUUGAUAGCCUGAAAAACCAGAGAGACCCAAAUCCUAAUCAACACAUAUGAUGAUUCAUUUAAAUUAGAUUGUUUAUUCUCACAACACAACUCUCUGCUAUGUUAUUUGUCACAAGCAUUAAAUUCUUCAUACGAUGAAUCCUUUAAUUGACAAUAGAUUAAGUUGAUAAUUAAAUAGUGGCCAAUUACCUAAUUAACAAACAUAAUCAUGAAACUAAUUCAGAGAAUAAACAAAUACCCAAAAAGCAAUAAAACAAUUAAAGCACAAGAAAGAUCUCACAGUAGUGAUGAAUCAAAGCUUCGUUAUCCUUCAACCAGAAAAAUAGGUUUAGUUCUUCAUAGAGAAGAGAGAAAAAUUAAAUCUAGGGUUUCUUUCUUUUUCUCCAAUCCAAAAAUCCCCCCUUUCUUUCACAAUAGAUUCCUCCUUAAAUACUCUCUCUCUCUUCUCUUUUAGAGUUCUAUUUAAAAUAAAAUACUAAUAUCUUAAAUAUUAAAUUCGUAAUUACAAAAAUAGCCAAAAAUACAAAACACGUUAAACUAAAAACUGCAGGUCCGCAGUUGACAGCACGCGCCCACGCCUUAUCAAUAAAGUUCUUCUGCCGCUCAUAAUUUCUCCAAGAGAACAAUCAUCCUUAAAAAUCAUCUUGUAGCUCAAUUUUAUCACCAAUCAAUAGAAUUGCACCUACAAAAGUAAAACACAAGUAAAUCAUUAUUAUUAAGUGCAAAACAUCGAUAUUAAGGGAAGUAAACAAUGCAAAACUAGUGCAUAAAUUGCACUCUAACACAUACUAAUGAAAACUUGCUUCUCUUGCUUCCUUAUUUCAAUUGGGACUAGAGUGACAUUUCUUCUGAGUUCAAAAAGGGGAAACAUCUCUGUGUACCGUUUGUGUCACGUUCUCUUAAUAGAAAAAUAUAACCCCAAAAGUUCUUGAUUUUGGUAGUUUGGUCUUUGUAUUAGAACUUGCAACCUGUUUCAUGAGAAAAAAUAAUAAAAAAUUGCUCUUAUUUUUCUUGCUAUCUAACAAGGUGCUUGACCAUUUUGGUUACCAAUUGAUGUUUAUCUAUUGAAUGCGGUUAUCAAUGAGUUAAAUGAAUAUAAUUAAAGGUCUGAUACAUAUUUUUAUAUAUAGAAUAUAUGCCAUAAUUUAAUGUGACCUCUGCCGUACUCGGAGCAAAAGAAACCCUUGUUAAUGGCUGCAUGUUUAUACAACUCCUCAAUGCAAGCGAGAUCGCAAACGACGUCGUCCCAGUUGUGGCAUAACAGCAUCGUCACCUCGACUUCCUCGAACCUCCCUUGCAAAUCCCUCGACACGCGCAACAACUCCAGUACGGUCACCACACGUGGCCUUGGCACCAUAUUUAUUUAUUUAUUAAUUCUAUUAAAUCCCAUUUGAUUUAAAUUAAAAAAUAAUUAAAAUAAAAGUCACGUUACUUGUUCUUGUGUUAUAGGGGCCCACCUUGUAAAAUAACACAAGGUCCCUUACAGUUAUAGUUAUCUUACUUAUUAAUCUACUAGUGGUGCAGUCAAUUAAAUAAGCUAACCCGGAGAUCAUUUGGGAACAUACAAUAGUAGCUAUAAUAAUUAGGCAUGUAAUUAAACUAGCCCAAUUAUUUAAUUCCAAAUCUACUCCACUAAAAGAUUGGAACUGACCUCUAUAAUUGUAUACUCGAAUAAUAAUUCGUCCCAAGACACAUCGAUUUCUUUACUGCAUAAUCCUUUGUACCACAUCAUUAAUUAAAUCGAUAUCUUAAUUGUCCAAUUGAUUUAAUUACAUCUUAUUCCUUGAUACUUAUUGGUUUUCUCUAAUGAUCAUUUUCAACAUACUAAAUAUGUUGACACACUCUGGCUAAAGAAUUCUAUGAUCAAGUGCCGAAAAUCCAUCAAGAGAUGUGUUGUACAAAUUCUAUAUUGUUAAUCUAUAACUCCAAUACUCAUAAUUGCUCCCACCAAGAUACCGGGUAAUCUUGACCACAAUUGUGUGUCAUGCCCAUUUGUAACUCAAAUAGAAUAACAAUUACAAUCAUGAAAUCAUAACUAACUUAAUAUUAAGAUUACAGUAAAAUCAAUGCCUAUGAGAUUUAAUAAGUCUGACAGUUAUUUGAAGGUUAAUUAAAUCUCAUAUGUGAUCUAGUUCAAUGUAGUCAAACUACAUCAGUAAAUUCAUAUAUGAUUAAGAUAAAUUAUUCAAUGAAUUUACUACAGUCUAAACAUAAAUAGAGCGCCCAACUCUAUUUAUUAGCUACGAAUUUAAUUUAUUUAAUCAUAAGAUGACUUGUAUUUAUGUCUUCUGUGAAUCCAUAUGAUGAUUACAUAAAUACAUAUAAUAUGAUUAAACGAGCCUUAUUCAAAAUAUUAUACAAUUGAAAAUAUCUCAAAUAUUUUAUUAAUCAGAAAAUAAAUUAAUAUGCUUUAAAAGAGCAUAUAAUCCCAACACUAUAGCCCCACCCAAGGACUCAGAAUAUAAAAAAGCGGGCAAAUCCGGUGCAUGUCUCGAAAUGACAUACCAUAUGUAAUGCUAAUUAUUUGGGAUGAAAUUUAAAAUAAAAUAAAUUUAGUAUGCUUACUCUUGCAUAAAACCUUUCUUUUUUUUUUUGGUAGAGUUAUUUUGGAACUAAUAAUUUAAUUUAUAAAUAUAUUUUUGUUUUAUCAAUAAUAACAUUUAAUUUGCAACUGCUGGGGAUUCCUAUUCCCUAGUGUUGGCUCGAGGAGAGCUUGGCAACAACCAUUGCAACGAAUCUAUGACAAGUUUUAUCGUGACAAUUACUUGUUAAUUGAUUUCUUUGCACUUGAUAUACAAUACAUAUCAUAUUAUAUCAAUUUUAAAGCUAUAUACUAAGAAUUCUAACAUAAUCAAAUGCAGAUAGGAGCAAUUAAUUGACAAUCAACACGCCAAUUGGAAAAGUUAAACAUGUGUAAGGAAUUUGUUGAGUAUCCGCAACAUAGUAGAAAUAUGGUAAAGUUAUGAUAAGACAACUGUGACAAAAUAAUAUGUCAAUAUUCAAUUAUUGAAUAUAAAUAAUGACUAUAUUUGGUAUUGAGAUGUUAUGAUAUAAAAAAAUGAUAAAGUAUGAAUACGUAAUAAUUUUGAAAGUUAUUAUGACUUUUUAUUAUAUAGAUAAAACAAAUUUGGUUUUUAGAUUAUAGCAGUAAGUAUUUAUUAAGCUAAUUAGAGUUAGAAUUUAAAAGCUAUUGUUUCCAACAAUAAUUAAGCAUGGCGAAUAUCUAAAAACAAGUCUAUUAGAAAAUUUUUUAUUUCUACAAAAUAAAAAAUGCAUGUGCUAUGCAAUUUUUAAGGAUUUGAAGUUACCGCUGCAGAGGAAAUAAUUUGUUUGCAUCCUUUAUUCAAACAGCUUUAGGCUUUUUAUAAGAGCCAAUUGGAAACACGCAAUCUACACUAGUAACUGCACUUGGAACAACAAAAGACACCCUAGACAAUAACACAUGAAAUACGAGAAAUAAUAGGAAACAUGGGUAAUAAUUUUGCACACAUAGUUAAUAGACCACUUGUUGAGCGCCCAUUUAUUUCAAAGCUCUUAUUACUAAGUCCUAGACUCCUCUUCUCAAGCACAUGGCUAUCAGGUACGUGGGAAGCUUGUUAAAUGCAUGGGUUCUUGCUCGUCUUUGGGAGACAUAUCAGCAUGCUUGGAAAGAGAUACACGCAAGACAAUCAACACAAGAUUUGCUUUAUUUCUAGGACGCAUGGCCAAGCACUCUACUUAUAGAACUCCAUAACCCAGAAAUUACCAAUAGCACGUUCACAACUCAUCCCACUAAAACCAGCGCCAGUAGCCAGGGUCAUGAAUUCAUGCCUUGUUCUCUCCUUUCCACCGGGACAAUGAAUCAUCAUAAGCACGUCAAAAUGGGAAUUUGAUUUUGAUUCAAUGCUUGUAUUAGGAACUUCUGGAAGCAUUGACUCCACAACGAUUACCUUUCCAUCUUCCGGAAUGCUUUUGCAGCAAUUCUUCAACAACUUCAAGCAAUGUUCAUCAUUCCAAUCGUGCAGUAUCCACUAUAUAAAAAUUCUCAUAUUAAUCAAACUAUUGUUCGUAAAAAUUUAAUUUAAGGAACUCCUCAUAAUAUGUCCACAAAUUAAAUUAAAAACUUACCUUCAUAAAAAUGGCAUCACCUUUUGGAACACUUUGGAACAUAUCACCCCGCACAUGCUCAAUGCCUGUAAAAUAUUAUCCAAUUAAGAAAUCAAACAAUUAGAAUUAUGCCACUCUAUUUUCAUUAGCAAGAUGUAUUACGUCAAGAACUGUUUGCUCAAACUUAAUUAUGCCAAUGUUAUGGAAGUUCUUGAUAUACAGGCACACACAACAGAUGUCCUCAUUUUUUUAAAUAUAAAUUUGGAGUUUUACAAGAUUUUCACAAUAGUAAACCACUGAAGAAUUAUACACACGCAUAUAUGAGAGCAGGUUCAAGGGAUUUUUUUUAAUACAAUUUUACAUAUAAAUUUCUAACAAUUAGGUUAAAGUUUAUCACAUGGUUAAUAUUAAAACUGCAUGCAGUUUUAUAAUUCGAAAAAUUAAUUAACUAGACGCAAGUCCAUAUGUCAAACAAUAAACGUGAAACACGAUGCUCUUUCCUCUCUCUUAUCAUCUUAAUUUAUUUAAACUAAGUAAUUUCAUUCAAAGAUUGAAAUUACACUUCAUUUCGGAGGAAGAUCUUCCAAUCAAAUUACAGGCAACUUAAAAUUAAAAGCUGCCUUAGUUAACACGAGUAUGCGUGUUGCAGGCUCUUCGGAUGAACUGAAUUCUAAAUCAGCAUUGUCCUUAAUUUCCUCUUGAAUGUCCAACAAUACUUAAAAGAUUUCCUUUGCUUGACAUCAUGUUUAGGACAUUCAUAUAUUUCUCUUUUUAACUUAUGUGCUCAUCUCCUUCAAUCCUCCCUCUACUCAUUAUAAAACAUUUUUUUUUAUUCCGAUGGCUGUUGGAUGGAUGUUACUACUACAAAUUAAAAUAUAGUACUUCCCUAGUUCUCUGUAUGUUUACUUUAGUUAUCCAGUAAAUCGAAACGUGAUUAGAUGACUAUGCUUUGUUAAUCUUUAAAAAAAUAUAUGUAGAAACAAUUGCCAACAUUUUUUUUCCAAUAUUUACAUUUGGUUUAAUAAAAAAAUUUAUGUAGAUAACAUCUUUUUUUAUGGCUACAUGGAUGUGUACCUUAGUUCACUGGUAAUUUAGAGGGAGAAAUAAAGGGUAAUACAAAGGUGAGAGAAAAAUAUUUUACUUAUACUAUUAAAUUUAAUAAUAUGGCACCUAUGCGAAUUAAUUAGUUUUUUAAAAUAACAAAAUUACACGUGAGCUUUAAUAUUAAUCCUUGGAUGAACUCUAUUAGAAAGAAAUUUGUUUCUAAAAGUAUCUUUUUUAAACUUGCCCCCAAAAUAAGGAAUCUUCUAAAAAAAAGGAAAAAAGAAAACAAACAUUCCAAGUAUUAUCCUUAGUUUAUCCUUUAUUUUAAUAAAGUAAGGAAGCCUUAUAUAUAUAUAUAUAGAUAGUAAUGAUCUAAUCCAAAAUUUUGGGUUUUGUUAAAAACCGAAAAAAUUCAUAAUUUCAAAUGGUUCAAUAGUCCAUUAUACUAUUAAAUCAUAUGACUUACUAGAUUUUUUGGACUUUAACAAAAUUUGUGUAGUGAGAGAGAGAGAGAGAGAGUCCUUCUCUAGUAAGGAAAUCUUCACUUUUUUAAAAUGAGAAUGUUACUAAAAUAUAAAAAAAACACAUAUUUCAAUACAGUAGAAAUUGUGUUUUUUUUUAAUUUAUUAGUAGCAUUCUCAAUUUAACAAAGUGAAACAUAUAUAUAUAUAUAUAUAUAUAUAUAUAUAUAUAGUCCUUCUUUAAGGUGGGUGCCCUUAUUUUUUUUUUUAAAUGAGGACACGCUAUUAAACCGUACGAUUUAACGGUGUUCUUCAUUAAUUCUAUUAAAUCGCACGGUACAACAAAGUGUUUGCAUUAAAAAAAAAUGAGGGUGCCCGCCCUAGCGAAUGGCUAUAUAUAUAUUUAUGAGAGUUGUUGCACUUUAAUAAAGUGCAAGAAAAUUGUUACCGCAUAUGGUAUAAUAGUGUAAUGUCCCAACAAGUACUCGUAUAUAUAACAUGAGAUUAAUAAUCAUACGUGGAUGUGGUGGGGCAUGGUCAAUAACAUGAGGCUGGUCGAAAUUGAUGCCCUUAAUAUAGGGGUACUUGGUAGUGAUGGCUUGAAGAGUAUCGCCGAGAUUGCCACCAACAUCGACCAGUUGCUUGAUGUUGUCGAAGCCCUUGUAAGAUUCAAGAAUGUUGCUCAAAACCAGGGAGGUAUAGUUAUACAUUGCUGUGUUAAAACGUUUAUUGAACUUAGGGUCCAAUCCUGUGUACUCAAAUAUAUGCACUCCAUGGGCUCGAUUAAAUGGAAUUCCUCCUUCAAGAAUAGCAUCUUUGAGUUGGGACC
RNAcentral lists this long non-coding RNA (23166 nucleotides) under Citrus x clementina. RNAcentral's name for it is "Citrus clementina (C. clementina) long non-coding RNA (CCLE_LNC003295)". Lineage: Eukaryota; Viridiplantae; Streptophyta; Magnoliopsida; Sapindales; Rutaceae. The record is from RNAcentral.